Molecule: ribosomal RNA, 265 nt
Filed under: Glomus sp. PP
Lineage: Eukaryota; Fungi; Glomeromycota; Glomeromycetes; Glomerales; Glomeraceae
Description: partial 18S ribosomal RNA
Rfam family: Eukaryotic small subunit ribosomal RNA
Source: RNAcentral
AAGCUCGUAGUUGAAUUUCGGGAUUGGCGCAUCGGUCGUGCCUUACGGGGUAUGAACUGGUGCAGUCAAUUUCUCACCUUCUGGAGAACCGCGAUGUCCUUAAUUGGGUGCCGUGGGGAACCAGGACCUUUACUUUGAAAAAAUUAGAGUGUUUAAAGCAGGCAUUUUUGCUUGAAUACAUUAGCAUGGAAUAAUAAAAUAGGACGGCAUGGUUCUAUUUUGUUGGUUUCUAGGACCACCGUAAUGAUUAAUAGGGAUAGUUGGG